GAUGAACGCUAGCUACAGGCUUAACACAUGCAAGUCGAGGGGUAACGAGAGGGAAGCUUGCUUUCCUUGUCGACGACCGGCGCACGGGUGAGUAACGCGUAUCCAACCUGCCCCCAACUAGGGAAUAACCUUGCGAAAGUAAGACUAAUACCCUAUAAUUUCCUCAGAUGUCAUCUGACGAGGAAUAAAGAUUUAUCGGUUGUGGAUGGGGAUGCGUCUGAUUAGCUUGUUGGCGGGGUAACGGCCCACCAAGGCAACGAUCAGUAGGGGUUCUGAGAGGAAGGUCCCCCACCUUGGAACUGAGACACGGUCCAAACUCCUACGGGAGGCAGCAGUGAGGAAUAUUGGUCAAUGGGCGGAAGCCUGAACCAGCCAAGUAGCGUGCAGGAUGACGGCCCUAUGGGUUGUAAACUGCUUUUAUACAGGAAUAAAGUUAGCCACGUGUGGUUAUUUGUAGGUACUGUGUGAAUAAGGACCGGCUAAUUCCGUGCCAGCCGCCGCCGUAA
This 506-nucleotide ribosomal RNA is filed under the name uncultured bacterium. RNAcentral describes it as "partial 16S ribosomal RNA". It matches the Rfam family "Bacterial small subunit ribosomal RNA", at positions 28 to 523 of the family's 1533-position model. The record is from RNAcentral.